RNAcentral lists this ribosomal RNA (494 nucleotides) under uncultured bacterium. Its description in RNAcentral is "bacterial SSU rRNA". It matches the Rfam family "Bacterial small subunit ribosomal RNA", at positions 28 to 533 of the family's 1533-position model. The record is from RNAcentral.
GACGAACGCUUGCGGCGUGCCUAAGAAAUGCAAGUCGAGCGAGGUUUAGGCUUCGGCCGACGACCUAGCGGCGAACGGUCGCGUAACACGUAAGCAACCUGCCCUAAAGUUGGGGAUAGCCCGCCGAAAGGCGGAUUAAUACCGAAUGUGGAUAUGAUUUCGCAUGUGAUUAUAUCUGAAGCAGCGAUGCGCUUUAGGAUGGGCUUGCGGCCUAUCAGUUAGUUGGUGUGGGUAACGGCCUACCAAGACGACGACGGGUAGCUGGUCUGAGAGGAUGGUCAGCCGGAUUGGGGACUGAGACACGGCCCAGACUCCUACGGGGGGCAGCAAUUAGGAAUCUUGCGCAAUGGGCGAAAGCCUGACGCAGCGACGCCGCGUGACUGAUGAAGUCUUUCGAGAUGUAAAGGUCUUUUGUUGGGGACGAAGGAAGUGACGGUACCCGACGAAUAAGCCCCGGCUAACUACGUGCCAGCAGCCGCGGUAAUGUGUGUGUA